AUGUCCAUCUUCUUCUUCUCCUUCUUCUUGCCCCUCCUCCUGUUUCCACCAUGCUGCAGCUGCUGCUCCCGGCACCUUCUUCUCCACGGCGACGCCAACCCCUCCUCCUCGCUCGCGGGCAUGCUCCAGGCGCGGGACGGCAACGUCACCGACGGCCUCAGGCGCUACCUGGCGCGCUUCGGCUACGCGUCCACGCCUGACGACGCCGACGGCCAGCUCGUGGUGCGGCUCUACCAGUCCACCCUCGGCCUCCCCGUCACCGGCCGCCUCGACGCCCGCACGCUCGACCUCCUCGCCACCCCGCGCUGCGGCGUCCCGGACCUCCAGACGAACGCCACCGCCCGCUUCGCCUUCUUCGCCGGCCAGCCGCGCUGGGCGCGCGCGCCGGGCCACUUCCUGCUCACCUACGCCGUGCUCUCCGACCCUCCCUACCAGCCCCUCCCUGAUCAUCUCCCGCGCGGGGCCGUGCGCGCCGCCUUCCGCCGCGCGUUCGCGCGCUGGGCGCGCGUCAUCCCGGUGCGGUUCCGCGAGAUGCGCGACUACAACACGGCGGACGUGCGCGUGGGCUUCCUCGCGGGCGACCACGGCGACGGCGAGCCCUUCGACGGCCCGCUCGGCGUGCUCGGCCACGCCUUCUCCCCGCCCAGCGGCCAGCUCCACCUCGACGCCGCCGAGCGGUGGGCCGUCCUCGGCCACGACGGCGACGACCCCGGCUCCGGCGCCGUGGACCUCGAGUCGGUGGCCACGCACGAGAUCGGCCACGUGCUGGGCCUGGCGCACUCGUCGGUCCCGGACGCCGUCAUGUACCCGAGCCUGAAGCCGCGCAGCCGCAAGGCGGACCUCACCCUGGACGACGUCCGCGGCGCGCAGGCGCUCUACGGCUCCAACCCGCGCUUCAGCCUCAGCUCCCUCUCCGAGCCCGACACCUCCUCAGCCGCCCCGGCGGUGGCCACCACCAGGUCGCCCGGGAAGACGACGACGACGCAUACGGCCAUCCUGCUCUUGCUUGUCACCGUCACUCCUCUGCUCCUCCUCUGCUAG
RNAcentral lists this ribosomal RNA (1041 nucleotides) under Triticum aestivum (bread wheat). RNAcentral's name for it is "partial small subunit ribosomal RNA". Lineage: Eukaryota; Viridiplantae; Streptophyta; Magnoliopsida; Poales; Poaceae. The record is from RNAcentral.